RNAcentral lists this small nuclear RNA (106 nucleotides) under Moschus moschiferus (Siberian musk deer). Lineage: Eukaryota; Metazoa; Chordata; Mammalia; Artiodactyla; Moschidae. The record is from RNAcentral.
GUGCUCACUUCAGCAGCACAUAUACUAAAACUGGAACGAUACAGAGAAGAUUUUCAUGCCCCUGUGCAAGGAGGAUACGCAAAUUUGUGAAGCGUUCCAUAUUUUU